This 312-nucleotide ribosomal RNA is filed under the name Scutellospora sp. CMU33. Its description in RNAcentral is "LSU rRNA". Lineage: Eukaryota; Fungi; Glomeromycota; Glomeromycetes; Diversisporales; Gigasporaceae. The record is from RNAcentral.
UUGAAAGGGAAACGAUUGAAGUCAGUCAUGCCAGCGGGAAUCAACUUAGGGGAAACUUUAAGUGCACUUCACGUUUGGCAGGUCAGCGUCGAUUUUGGAUAUCAUAAAAUGAUCGGGGGAAGGUAGCUCCUUCGGGAGUGUUAUAGCCCUUGGUAGAUGUGAUGUCUGGGAUCGAGGAUUGCAACGGAUACCCUUUGGGCUAGCCGCCUGAUCUCUAACUGGUGUUGGGUUACGGACAGCAUGCUGACCGUGAUUUAAUUGCUGGUUAAAAGGUUAGAGCGACUGUAACUUCUUUGAAGAUGUUGACGUAAA